UACGUAGGGGGCAAGCGUUGUCCGGAAUUAUUGGGCGUAAAGAGCGCGUAGGCGGUCCGGUAAGUCGGUUGUGAAAACUGGGGGCUCAACCCUCAGAGGCCGACCGAUACUGUCGGGCUAGAGUCCGGAAGAGGCGAGUGGAAUUCCUGGUGUAGCGGUGAAAUGCGUAGAUAUCUGGAGGAACACCGGUGGCGAAGGCGGCAUCCUGGACCGGUAUUGACGCUGAGGCGCGAAAGCCAGGGGAGCAAACGGG
This 253-nucleotide ribosomal RNA is filed under the name uncultured bacterium. RNAcentral's name for it is "partial 16S ribosomal RNA". It matches the Rfam family "Bacterial small subunit ribosomal RNA", at positions 524 to 776 of the family's 1533-position model. The record is from RNAcentral.